GGAGGAAUACAUCUGGCGAUUGCAGGUGGCACAGCCAGAAGCAGCAGAUCUGAGCUCCUGGUACUAGGGGCAGGAAACUCAGAAGUCAUAUAUCAUAAGUACAAUACGUAGCCAGAGGAGAGGACGAAUACGUUUGAGCUCAGCUGGUACUGAAGGCAGGAUACUCACAAGUCAUACAUCACAAGUAGGAAACUUACGUGAUAAUGCUUGGUUCUUCUAAGCUAGAGGCUAUUUAUCUUCAGAGACUAAUCGACCACAUCGUUCUCCCAAUUCUCAUCUACGGAAGGCUGAAAGCUCAAAAGGCAUAAAUCAUAAUUACAGCACAAGAUCCUAUUCAAUUGCUUUGUGAGUUGAAGCUACGGUACUGAAUCCAGGAACUCAGAAGUCACACAUCACAAGUAGGAAAUAAACGUAAUUAGAGUUGAUUCGUCCGAGCUAGAGGCUAUGGUAUGUUCAUCUUGAGGAACUAAUCAGCCAUCUGUUCGAGAUCCUCAUCUGCUCCUUUGUGAAUCGAGGCUAUGGAACAAGAAGGCUAGACGAGACUGUUUGCGGCCACAGUUGUGCAGCUCAAAGACUAAAAGGCUAAAGAGCUCAGCUUCAGGCUAGCAGUCUACCUGUUUUCCCAGGUCAGACAUCAAUAUCAUCAACUACUGUUUCA
Molecule: long non-coding RNA, 658 nt
Organism: Panicum virgatum (switchgrass)
Lineage: Eukaryota; Viridiplantae; Streptophyta; Magnoliopsida; Poales; Poaceae
Exons: 5
Source: RefSeq, a predicted model, not a curated record